UCGGGAAUUUUGGGCAAUGGGCGAAAGCCUGACCCAGCAACGCCGCGUGAAGGAUGAAGUCUCUCGGGAUGUAAACUUCGUAAGAAUAGGAAGAAUAAAUGACGGUACUAUUUGUAAGGUCCGGCUAACUACGUGCCAGCAGCCGCGGUAAUACGUAGGGACCAAGCGUUGUUCGGAUUUACUGGGCGUAAAGGGCGCGUAGGCGGCGUGGUAAGUUACCUGUGAAAUCUCCGAGCUUAACUCGGAACGGUCAAGUGAUACUGCUGUGCUAGAGUACAGAAGGGGCAAUCGGAAUUCUUGGUGUAGCGGUGAAAUGCGUAGAUAUCAAGAGGAACACCUGAGGUGAAGACGGGUUGCUGGGCUGACACUGACGCUGAGGCGCGAAAGCCAGGGGAGCAAACGGGAUUAGAUACCCGCGUAGUCCCUGAGCGGGCUGGCAAGGCGCAU
Molecule: ribosomal RNA, 447 nt
Filed under: uncultured bacterium
Lineage: Bacteria
Description: bacterial SSU rRNA
Rfam family: Bacterial small subunit ribosomal RNA
Source: RNAcentral